This is a long non-coding RNA of Malurus melanocephalus (red-backed fairy wren), 263 nucleotides long. RefSeq lists it as uncharacterized. The record is from RefSeq and is a predicted model, not a curated record. The transcript is spliced from 6 exons. Lineage: Eukaryota; Metazoa; Chordata; Aves; Passeriformes; Maluridae.
GUGACACUGGGUGACAUUGGGUGACACUGGGUGACACUGGGUGACACUGAGGUGACACUGGGUGACACUGGGUGACACUGGGUGACACUGGGUGACACUGAGGUGACACUGGGUGACACUGGGUGACAUUGGGUGACACUGGGUGACACUGGGUGACACUGGGUGACAUUGGGUGACACUGGGGUGACACUGGGUGACACUGGGUGACACUGAGGUGACACUGGGGUGACACUGGGUGACACUGGGUGACACUGGGUGACAUU